Molecule: transfer RNA, 69 nt
Filed under: Bos taurus (domestic cattle)
Lineage: Eukaryota; Metazoa; Chordata; Mammalia; Artiodactyla; Bovidae
Also listed under: 5 other names
Rfam family: tRNA
About the family: Transfer RNA (tRNA) molecules are approximately 80 nucleotides in length. Their secondary structure includes four short double-helical elements and three loops (D, anti-codon, and T loops). Further hydrogen bonds mediate the characteristic L-shaped molecular structure. tRNAs have two regions of fundamental functional importance: the anti-codon, which is responsible for specific mRNA codon recognition, and the 3' end, to which the tRNAs corresponding amino acid is attached (by aminoacyl-tRNA synthetases). tRNAs cope with the degeneracy of the genetic code in two manners: having more than one tRNA (with a specific anti-codon) for a particular amino acid; and 'wobble' base-pairing, i.e. permitting non-standard base-pairing at the 3rd anti-codon position.
Source: Rfam by way of RNAcentral
CCUGGUGGCUCAGAGGUGAAAGCGUCUGCCUCCAAUGCAGGAGACCCAGGUUAGAUCCCUGGGUCAGGA